GCGCGAAAACUUUACAAUGCUGGCAACAGCGAUAAGGGAACCUCAAGUGCCAGGUUACAAAUCUGGCUGUCGAGAUGCCUAAAAAGCAUUUCAUAGCAAGGGCCGGGCAAGACCGGUGCCAGCCGCCGCGGUAACACCGGCGGCUCGAGUGGUAACCGUUAUUAUUGGGUCUAAAGGGUCUGUAGCCGGCCGGAUAAGUCUCUUGAGAAAUCUGGCAGUUUAACUGUCAGGCUUUCAGGAGAUACUGUCUGGCUCGAGGCCGGGAGAGGUGAGAGGUACUUCAGGGGUAGGGGUGAAAUCUUGUAAUCCUUGAAGGACCACCAGUGGCGAAGGCGUCUCACCAGAACGGACCUGACGGCAAGGGACGAAAGCUGGGGGCACGAACCG
This 387-nucleotide ribosomal RNA is filed under the name uncultured bacterium. RNAcentral's name for it is "bacterial SSU rRNA". It matches the Rfam family "Archaeal small subunit ribosomal RNA", at positions 339 to 726 of the family's 1478-position model. The record is from RNAcentral.